Molecule: long non-coding RNA, 337 nt
Organism: Herpailurus yagouaroundi (jaguarundi)
Lineage: Eukaryota; Metazoa; Chordata; Mammalia; Carnivora; Felidae
Exons: 3
Source: RefSeq, a predicted model, not a curated record
UCAGGGGCCGCUAGCUACGUGUCUGCCUGGCAAUCACCCUCAACAGCCCUGCUUUGGUCUUAACAAUCAGCCCAGAGUGUUCGCUGUGCAGCGCAUGGUGAAGCCAGGAGGGGACACACCUUGCUAACAUGAACAGAAUAAACCGAGACAAAGCCCAGAUGGUCCCGGACACAGGUCAAGGCUCUGGCACCUGGCGCGAUGCUGAGAUGCUGUGUGUGGCUUCUGGGUGACGAUCCUGUUUGGGUUCCAUCUCAUUCCACCCCCUGGAAGAAGACUCAUGGGAGCUUCUCCUGUAAAGGAUGUGUUCUGAAACGUGUACGUGUGAUAGAUUUUUCUG